RNAcentral lists this long non-coding RNA (5614 nucleotides) under Homo sapiens (human). RNAcentral describes it as "HSALNT0292912". The record is from RNAcentral. Lineage: Eukaryota; Metazoa; Chordata; Mammalia; Primates; Hominidae.
AUGCCUGCACACAGAAGAAAGACCACGUGAGGAUACAGUAGGAAGGCAGUCAGUCAUCUGCAAGCCAAGGAGAGAGGCCUCAGGGGAAACCAAACCUACCAACACCUUGAUCUUAGACUUCUAGCCUCCAAAGCUUGUUGGGAUAUACAAUCUCCAAAAUCCUGCCUGCUCUGACAUACACACCGUGGAAGCUGUAGCAUCACUUUGCUUCAUGAAUCCUCUGGGAUUGGAAAUUCUUUAUAAGACUGUAUUAAACAAACACAACUCUUUCUGAAUCCUGCAAAACGAAACUGGACCUGGGACAAGUAUUUUAACACAAAGUUCUAUUUGUCCUCAAUCUUGUUUGGCCCUGACCAAAUGUAGGGUGUGAUUUUUUUCUUCUCCACUCCUUCUUACACAAGGCAAGACCUACUCAAACUCCAGGUUUUCAACAGGUGGGUGAGCUGAACAGAUUAAGUACCCACUAAGAUCAAGUUUCUUCCUUUCAACUUAAACUUCAGGACUGAACUCUAACUGAACUGCAGACGAGCAAGCAUAGGAAUGUGUAUGGAAUAUGAGCCACUUUGAUAUUGAAGUUGGCAUGCAGCAAAAGCUGACUAAAUACAUCUCCCUGAAGCAGAGGUCCACACAAAACAAUUUGGGAAAAUGAGCUCUAAAAGCCUUCAAAAGACCUCUUUCUACCUACCAUAAUUAACCAGUGUUUAAGAAAACAUGGCAGCCUUUUAGAUGUAAUAUAAUUUUACAGUUUUCAUUGUGAUUCCCAUAUUUAUAUUCCACAUAAUAGAGUGAGUUAGGAUGGACGGCCCCAUUACCCAACCAAAGGGGGACUUGGAGAGCCAAUAAUUGGCAGAGAUGUCAGUGGGACCCAGGUCUCCCAAAUCCUAGCCUGGGUGUUUUUCCACUAAACUUGGUCUUCCUCUUAGUUUUUAUAAGAAGCCCUUCAAGCUCUUGCACAUAUUUAGGUCAAAAUUACUACUUUCAGACCUAUUGUCUGAUUUGGAAGGAAAUCUUGUAAUUACAGGAUGACUUCAAAACAAUAUUCAAUUGCAUAAUAGGAGUGUGGGUUGCAUGUUUUGAGCAUUAAUAAUACUAAGAAGCCUUCCAUUUAUUUGGUUGAACAAAAAUAGUAAUCCAAUGUCCACUACCCAAAAUGGCCCAAGUAACUAUAAAAGCUACUCUAAAGGGAUGAAGAGCUGUGGGAAAUGACUAAAUAGCACUGAAAGCAGUACUCUGCUCUUUAAAAGUUCAAAAAUUAGGCAAUCUGGGUGAGAGAAAGAUGUGAUCUAAAGGAAACAGGACACAGCCCUGAACAAAUUCCAGAACUCAUAAUGUGGUCAGGUUAUACAAUCAAGUGCUAAAACCAAUUUUGGGGCAUUGCUUUAAAAAGCAUUCCUGUUGAACCCAUUUGAGGGCAGGUGGCCUCUUCAGUAUGGCCUUGCACUUGUGUAUGGCACCUGCCCUUGGCCCCAGGCACAGUGUACACUCCUUUGGUGUUGCAAGUGCCUGCCACAGAGAUCCCAGGUGGCAUUCAAGGGAUGACUCAAGGUCCCACCCAUUAAAAAUAUACCUUCCACAUGGCACUGCCUUACCCUUCGUGUAGAAGUGGAAAUAGUACAGCAUUUCUGAAGGGCACUUUGACAGUUGUAUUCAUUCAGGUAUCCAUCAUUGGACAAAGAGAUACUAAGCUACCUCUCCAUGCCAGGCACUCUGUUAACGACUGUAGAUACUGAAGUGAGCAAAGUAGACAAAAAUCUCUGCCCUUAUGGAGCUGACAUUCUAGUAUGUAUGUGGAAGUGGGGCCACGGGGAGGUGGGGAGAUAAGUUACUCUGAGGAAGCAAAGUAAAUUAAAAAGUAAUUAAUAAAUAGAAGGUAAGAAAUUCUUUGGAGAAAACUUAAGCAGUAAUGAGGACAGGGAAUGGAGGUGGGUAAGGAAAGAUCUCACUGAUAAGGUGAUACCUAUCCUAAAAUUAUGUCUAAAAGAUUAUAGCUACAAAAAAAGAAGAAAAACUGAAUGGAAACACAUAAAGUGCAAUUUGUGGUUAUCUUUAGAAGAUAUUUGCGGCAAUUUUCUGUACUGUGUUCUGCAUAUGUGUGCUUGUGUGUUUUUAAUUAGUUGGAAAUUUUGACAAUGUACUCUGGCAUCUUUAUUUCUUAAAAGACCCCACCAAGCAAUUCUGAGGCACAGUAAAAUAUAAAAUUGUUUUCUUCGCACCUUACAUUUUAAGUUCUAUGCUCAAAAAGAUUCUAGUAGUUCUGGGCAUGCUGAGUUCAACAUUUUAAGUUAUACGUAUUUUUUAAUUGCCCUGCAAUUCCCCUCAAUUGGGUUACUGAAGAAUUAUAUGUAAAUAUCUCAUAGUGCAUUGUGAGAAAUGAGUUAUGUAAUCCAUGUAAAGAGGUUAGCAUCAGGCUCAAUAAAUGUUUAGCUGCCAUCAGUGUUAUUAUUGUUAGAGGCUUAGUGGAGAACUUGCUGUUUGAUCUGGACCUUGAAAAAGAAAUGGGUAAAGGAUGUGGAUAAAGGUCAGAGGGUGGAUUAUCCAGGCAGGAAAAAUACAUUGGCAAAAACAUGAGGAAUGACCUCAUUGUGAGCAAAGGGAAGUCUCCCUUUCAUUCAGUAGACCUUUACUGAGCUAUUGGACCACAAGCUCCGGGAGUUCUGAGGCUAUGUCCACCCCGUUCACUGCUUUAUCCCAGCACUUAGUACAGCACGUUACACAAAAAGAGCUGUAAAUAUUUGUUGACUGUUCAAAGUAUUUUAACCACCACUAAAAGCAUGUUCAUUUUAGAUGUGUCCUCAGGCAGCUUCUGUGACAUCAGUUGUCAUUUUAAUAAAGAGCUAACCAGAGCCACUCUAAGAAAAUGAGUUCACCAAGAUAUAUUCAAGCUACAAUAAAAUGUAAUAAUUUUUGGAUUUGUAUGCAAUAACAACUCAUUCAUCUAGUAUGGUUAGGAAAUUAGUAACUUAUUUAUAAUGGAAACAUCCCUUUAAUGCUAAAGGUUUUCAAUUCUAUUUUAACCAAGUUGGAUGGAAAUAUUUUUAAUUUGGGGGGUUUUUUGUUUUGUUUGUUUUAACACAGGGUCUCGUUCUGUCACCCAGGCUGGAGUGCAGUGGCGUGAUCAUGGCUCACUGCAGACUCAACCUCCUGGGCUCAGGCAAUCCUCCCACCUCAAGCCUCCCGAGCAGCAGGGAUUACAGGCACACACCACCAUGCCCAGCUAAAUGUUUGUAUUUUUGUACAGAUGGGGUUUCACUAUGUUGUCUAAGCUGGUUUCGUAAUGGUGGGCUCAAGUGAUCCUCCUGCCUCUGCCUCCCAAAGUGCUGGGAUUACAGGUGUUAGCCACCAUGCCUGGCCUAUUUUUAAUUUUUAUUACAAAUAUCUGUGGCUUUUUGAACACUGCAUAUAGAACAAAAUUGAUCCCUUUAAUGAAUCUGUGUCAGUUAUGAAACACAAGCUGUGAGCAGCCAAAGACCACCUUUGACUAACAUAUUUUAUUAGAAUGUUUUAAAGUAGUCUUCCAAAUUAAAAGAAAAUUGGACAACCAGUCUUGAAAAGGUCAGGGACCAUGCAGCUCCAGGGUUCUACGUGGAAGGGAAGAAUUCAGGAUACCACCAUAAGGAUGAGCCAGCCCAGUAGCUUUGUGUUGGCUCUGCUCAACAUCCAAAUUCCUGCAAAAAGGUGACUGACUUGUCUUGGACCAUAAGCUCAGCCUUGUUCAGGAGAUGGGAAAGCUCCUUACAUGAUGGUUCCUUUGGAACAGAAUACAAAUUGGGAAGGGUAAUUUUCUGAAGAAAAAUCAUAGUGCUGCCUCCAGAGGAGAGCAGAAUGAAUGCUGAGCAUGUGAAAACACGGAAGUCCAACACAAUAAUGAAUAAUCAUUUUGAACAUCAAUUAUAGUAUUAACUUGUAAUUCAGUAAUGUUCUUGAAAACUGAUGUUUAAGGCUAUCUUUCCCCUUUAAUUAGUGGUCUCAGGCUUCUUUACUUUUUGAGUUUCUAAUUUUUAUAAUUCUCUUGUCUUUUUUUUUUUCACCUUUCAAAAUGAUUAUUUUCUUGCUACUUUUUUUUUUUUUUUUUUUUUUUGAGAUGGAGUCUCGCACUGUCGCCCAGACUGGAGUACAAUGGUGCGAUCUCGGCUCAGUUCAACCUCCACCUCCCAGGUUCAAGCAAUUCUCCUGCCUCAGCCUCCCAAGUAGCUGGGAUUACAGGUGCACGCCACUACGCCUGUCUAAUUUUUUGUAUUUUUAAUAGAGACAGGGUUUCACUAUGUUGGUCAGGCUGGUCUCAAACUCCUGACCUCGUGAUCUGCCCGCCUCGGCCUCCCAAAGUGCUGGGAUUACAGGCAUGAGCCACCGCACCUGGCCUUUUCUUGCUACUUUCAAUUUACCCACUUUGGGCAGUCUCCAUCCACUUUCUUCCUCUAUUUGGCUGUGGACUGGGAAAUGAAAUAAACAAGCUUGUUAGAUGUGUGUAUGUAAUGGGACUGUGAAUAAGUAUGAGUCUAUGAGUAAAGCACAUGAUAAAUGCAUAGACUUGGUGUCAUUUACAUUGACUGCUCAAAGACUUCUCUUGCUAAUGUUUAGUUGUUUAGCUACUUAGAUAGUGACCAGAUGAGGAAUUUCUCUGUAAAUGAUAUGCUACCAAUUAUAAGAACACAUGUCCUUUUUAUAAUUGCUUUAAAUUCAUUUUCACCAUAUCAUUGAAAGGAAGGAGAGGGCAAAUAUUUGCUCAGUUUUAAAAGUAUGAAAAAUGGAGCCACAGAGGGCUUAAGUACACUGGGGAAAGGCUAGUGCUGAGCCCCAGGUGUCCUGGUUUCCAUUUUAGAAGUUAGUUAAUAGAUUCAGCUAUGUCAAUAUCAGGAGAUGUACAGAAUCAUAGGUCAAAGACAGCUUAAAACUUCAGAGAUCACUAGGGGAUACAACAAGUGUAUGAUAUAGACAGAAAAGCACAGGGAAAAUUACAUAUGUGACUGUAAAACACACAUACGAAGCUGUUAACAGCACCCACAGAUGGGAACAAACAUUGAUUUCCCUGUUCAAUCACUUUUAGCAACAACUUGGAUAAAGAUACUGAAAAUAUGUUUAACAAUUGCAGGUGACACAAAAUUGAAAAAGAUUACCAGUAUAUUUAAUGAGAGAACCAAGAUCCUGGCUGAAACUACUGGCUAAAAUGUAAUAUUGAUUAGACAACAUGAAUUUUUCAAUUUCUUAUAAUUAUAGCUAACAUUCUAAUUUACAAACAUGAUGUAGGGGAAGUCUUACUUGACAACAAUCAUACGGGUUUUGGUUUGCUGCAAAUAAAGAAAUAAUAAUACCAUUUAUUGAAGAUAGUGCCAGCAUCAUACUAAGUGCUUUAUAUGUACUAUGUCAAGUCUCACAAUUCUAAAACAUAGGCAUCAUCAUCAUCCCCACAUUGUAAGUGAGAAACUGAUAAUUUGAGAAGUUAGAUAAAAUGCCCCGAAUCUGACAGCUAAUGAAUGUUGAAACCAGGUGUCAAAUCUACCUAAAUCCAUGUCUUAACCAAUAUGCUGCUGUUAUUAUGUAAAAAUAAAUGCCAUUAUUAAAAGAUUCAAGGAAGUCUCUUUGUACUACUCAUUUUAAUUGAAGUAUGUGAUUGUCA